AUGCCCAUGUCGUCACCUCCGGUGACUACAGAUCGCAAAACACAUCCAGCUGAGCGCGCGCACACGCGGAACCCCUUACAUGUCUCCUCUAGCAACGAAUGGCCCGCAGCAUCAUGUCGGAGAACGGCCGGAAGCUCCACGUUGCAUCCCUAUUUCCUACCAUAUAACUGGAAUUACCGAUGCAAGUCGAAAAAGGAUUGGUCGGUGCUGUUGGCUGGUGUCAAGUUUGAUCCCACGGAUCAGGAGCUGAUCAAGCACCUCGAGGCCAAAGUGAGUGCUGAAAGCGCGAGAUCUCACCCUCUCAUCGAUUUGUUCAUACCAACCAUCGACAGCGAGCACGCCAUAUGCUACACCCAACCUGAGAAACUUCCAGGUAUCACACAGAGUGGCCUAAGGAAGCAUAUCUUCCAGCGCAAUUCCAGGGUGUUCAAAAGGGGCACGUUGAUGCGUCACAAGAUACAGUUGGAGUGCGGCAUGCACGCGAUGUGGCACAAGACCGGCAAUUCCUUGCCAGUGAUGGUCAACGACCGGCAGACGGGCAACACAAAGGUUCUGGUGCUGCACACCAACAAGAACUUCGACCGACAAAGGACCAACUAG
RNAcentral lists this ribosomal RNA (600 nucleotides) under Triticum aestivum (bread wheat). Its description in RNAcentral is "partial small subunit ribosomal RNA". The record is from RNAcentral. Lineage: Eukaryota; Viridiplantae; Streptophyta; Magnoliopsida; Poales; Poaceae.